RNAcentral lists this unclassified non-coding RNA (359 nucleotides) under uncultured fungus. RNAcentral describes it as "partial contains small subunit ribosomal RNA, internal transcribed spacer 1, and 5.8S ribosomal RNA". The stretch from base 1 to 73 matches the Rfam family "Eukaryotic small subunit ribosomal RNA", at positions 1759 to 1831 of the family's 1831-position model. Lineage: Eukaryota; Fungi. The record is from RNAcentral.
GCAAACUUGGUCAUUUAGAGGAAGUAAAAGUCGUAACAAGGUUUCCGUAGGUGAACCUGCGGAAGGAUCAUUCAUGUGAUUUUAAUACCACUACUUUUUGUUAACUAUUAGUUAAAAAGUGCCCACAGUUUUCUGUGUUUUUCUUUUGUUGGCUGCGUUUUCUUUCAUAUUCACUCUAUUUUCACAAAGCACUCUAAAUAAGUUCCCAACCAGAAAAUAGGAAAAGAAAUGAUAAAUGCUACCUUUAAAAUUUUACCUUUAAAACUUACUCCAAAACUUUUACCAUAAAAAACACCUGUAAAUUUAUUACAACUUUUAACGAUGGAUCCCUCGGCUCUCACUUCGAUGAAGAACGCAGC